Molecule: long non-coding RNA, 2915 nt
Organism: Symphalangus syndactylus (siamang)
Lineage: Eukaryota; Metazoa; Chordata; Mammalia; Primates; Hylobatidae
Source: RefSeq, a predicted model, not a curated record
UCCCACACCCUUGACUCAUAAGUUUAAAAUCUACCCAAAAACCCCAGCAUUGCAGAGACAUGCCCAGGCAGACAGGCCUCUCUGUGGAUAGAGCUGUUUGUCAUGGCUAAAGGGAAGAUUAACCGAAGGAAAAGGAGACAGCGAGCCAGCCCGUGUCGCAGUGGCUGGUGACCUGGAUUCCUGCCCCUCUUCUGGACCGAGUGGCUGUGCCAGUGUGGGCAUGGGGCCCAAGCCUGCCGGCCUCCCAGGCACUCACAUUCCACUCCCAGGAGCCCACAGCCUCUGGUGCUGCAGAGCUCCUGCCAGCUUGAUUGGAGCAGCUUAUGACAUGACAGUGGCCAGAAUGACACAGACCUCAGUCCCAUACCGUCCCUCCAGGCACAAGAUGAAAAGGGACAGGCAGCCACAGCCACCCUCCAGACUGAACCAUCAUGGGCACCGAUUCACUGAUCCUCUCCCCUGCCCCCACCCACUCCAAGUGAAAAACUAUUUGUUAAACACAACUAUAAAUAAGCCAGAGCAGCUAUUCCAUUUACCACGAACGGUGGGUGCUGCUAUUCCACGUCACAUUGAGGAAACCAAGGCCCAGAGAGGUUUACCAGUGUGCCCAGGACCCACAGUCAGAAGCUGAGAGGCAAGCCCAGGCUUCCGGCUGUCCCUCCACUCUGGCCUGAUACUUCCUCCAGGACCACGGCCCUUUAAAGGGAAGAGGAUGGGGCAUGAAAGACCAGUGGAAGAAACAGGAAUUCCUCAGGCUGAGGGAAUAAAAGGUCAGAAAACAUCAAAGUUGAUGGAAACUGUGGGUUUCAUGGCCAAAUCCCCUGGCUUAGUCCAGCAGGAAACUCCGGCCCAAAAAAGGGACUUGCUCAGGGAGUUGGGGUUACAGCCUGCACUUCCAAAAUCCCACCAAUGCUUUUUGUACCAAGCCCUCUGCCCCAAAGCCAGGGAGAGGAUAGAUCACUCACAGUUCAUAGCUCAGCUCAGAUGUCACCUCCUCCAGGCAGCCUUCCUUCCCCCUCCACAACCACUCUGCCCCUCCUCUGGGAAUAUGGUAAUAACACUCACUCUUCAUAUUUACUGAAUAUUUACCAAGUGCUAGCUAGACUAGCACGCCACAGGUUUACUCACCUGUCUGUCUCACCCACUGGAUUGUGAGAGGAUGGAAACAGAUUCUGUCUUGGUCACUGUAGCCUCCCCAGACCUCAGGAGACCCGGUACAUAGUAAGUACUCAAUAAACAACUGUGGGACUGAAUGUCCAAAUCAGUGAAAGGAUCAACAGAAUGGUUAUACACGCUAUUCUACAUAACAAUGGCCUCGUGUGCGCACAGGGCUUUCAUUUUUCAAAUCACAUUAAUCACAUUGUCUCAGUAGAACCCAGUGAGAGGCCCCAGUAACAAGGAGAGUGGUAUCAAGUGUAUGCCCACAUACACACCUGCACGCCAGCACAUGCAGCUCCCCUCCAUGUUUAUGUAAGUGUACAGAGACCCAUACACCCAUGCCUUCCUAGCCGGCAAGAAAGAUGCCAUGACGUGCUAUUUCCUGUUUUGUCUGCAAACACGGAGGCCUCCCCCACCUUCUUCCCCACCCCGAGACACACACACACACACACACACACACGUGGCUGGUUUUCCUCUUUAGCUGAAAGAGUGAAAGAGAGCCAGCUGUCCACAAGGGGGCAUUCGAGGACCAUCCAAGUCAGUAUCUCAAAGCCAAGACUGCUACUUGGUCUCAGAGGGACAAGAAGAUCCCAGGAAAAACUGAAGAACCAGGGUGGGGUCUCGCGUGGCAACCCAGAAGAGGAGGUGGUCAGCCACUAGAGAAGCAGGGCUCAUGGAGAUGGAGGCUCCGUCUGAAUAAUAGAAAUGGUGAUAACACUCACUCUUCAUAUUUACCAAGUGCUAGUCCCUGGUCUAAGCACUUCACACGUCAUGACUCGUUUAAUCUUCCUCUCACCUCCUCAAGGCUCAGUGUUGCUAUAAUUCCUGCUUUAUAGAUGAAAAAACUAAUGACUCAGAAAAAUUAAGUAACUUGCCCAGGGUCACUCAGUGGUGAAGGCAGAAUUCGAACUCAGGAUCUGUUGUCCAUAGGUCAUACUGCCAACUGCUCACUCUGCUGCCUCGAGGCUGGACUUUCAGACAUCCUACUUCUCAGCCCAGGAUUCUCUGUGCUGGACGCCACUUCUCACAUCUCCAGGCCCUUUUGGGUGGUUGAUGAAGGACCUGGAAGCUGAUUUCCUAAGAGUGCAUAACUUGGUGCCCUGAAGCUGACCCCUCAUCUGCUAUAAACUGUCGAUGCUGGGUUGGUAUAGUGCCUUUGGAAAGCAGUAAAGCAAUUACUAGCAAAAGGCAUGAAGCUCUUCCUCCCCCUUUGACCCAGUAAUCUCUUUUCCUGGGAAAUUAUUCUAAGAAAAUUAUCCAAAUGAAGCCAAGUGUUAUCUGCAUACAUGCGUGCAUUGAAGUCUUUCUUUAAAGGUCAAAAACUGGGAACCACAAUAAGGAAGUGGUUUAAUAAACUGGGAUAUCAACACAAUGGACAAUCAGGCCUGGAAAUCCACAGCUGUGUGACUGUGAUGGGGAAUGGGAACAUGGAGAAUGCUUCUACCACACAGUGUAUCACCACUACACUCCCACCUAACUAGCUAAUUCAACAAAUCACGCUUAUCAAGGAGAGAGAAGUCUCUCUGUUCAUGUUCAAAAUAAACUCAGCCCCUGACACCCCAAAGGAACAGAAGAGAAGCUUAAAUGCAACAAAAACAAUAAGCUCAAUAAUUCUUGGCUUUUGAGUUUCCAAGGCCCCAGAUCCUGAUGAUAUAUGACAUUUUCUGAGAGUGAUUUUGAUGAUUGGUUAUUGAUGAUUUUCACUUUUCACACUGUACUUGUUAUUUAAGCCAUCUAAUUCGUCAUAUUAAAUUUUG